Molecule: ribosomal RNA, 585 nt
Filed under: uncultured bacterium
Lineage: Bacteria
Description: partial 16S ribosomal RNA
Rfam family: Bacterial small subunit ribosomal RNA
Source: RNAcentral
UGGGGAAUUUUGGACAAUGGGCGAAAGCCUGAUCCAGCAAUGCCGCGUGUGUGAAGAAGGCCUUCGGGUUGUAAAGCACUUUUGUCCGGAAAGAAAUCCUUGGCUCUAAUACAGUCGGGGGAUGACGGUACCGGAAGAAUAAGCACCGGCUAACUACGUGCCAGCAGCCGCGGUAAUACGUAGGGUGCAAGCGUUAAUCGGAAUUACUGGGCGUAAAGCGUGCGCAGGCGGUUUGCUAAGACCGAUGUGAAAUCCCCGGGCUCAACCUGGGAACUGCAUUGGUGACUGGCAGGCUAGAGUAUGGCAGAGGGGGGUAGAAUUCCACGUNUAGCAGUGAAAUGCGUAGAGAUGUGGAGGAAUACCGAUGGCGAAGGCAGCCCCCUGGGCCAAUACUGACGCUCAUGCACGAAAGCGUGGGGAGCAAACAGGAUUAGAUACCCUGGUAGUCCACGCCCUAAAACGAUGUCAACUAGUUGUUGGGGAUUCAUUUCCUUAGUAACGUAGCUAACGCGUGAAGUUGACCGCCUGGGGAGUACGGUCGCAAGAUUAAAACUCAAAGGAAUUGACGGGGUCAUAGCUGUUUCC